AUUGAACGCUGGCGGCAGGCUUAGCACAUGCAAGUCGAGCGGAGAUGAGGUGCUUGCACCUUAUCUUAGCGGCGGACGGGUGAGUAAUGCUUAGGAAUCUGCCUAUUAGUGGGGGACAACAUUCCGAAAGGAAUGCUAAUACCGCAUACGUCCCACGGGAGAAAGCAGGGGAUCUUCGGACCUUGCGCUAAUAGAUGAGCCUAAGUCGGAUUAGCUAGUUGGUGGGGUAAAGGCCUACCAAGGCGACGAUCUGUAGCGGGUCUGAGAGGAUGAUCCGCCACACUGGGACUGAGACACGGCCCAGACUCCUACGGGAGGCAGCAGUGGGGAAUAUUGGACAAUGGGGGGAACCCUGAUCCAGCCUUGCCGCGUGUGUGAAGAAGGCCUUAUGGUUGUAAAGCACUUUAAGCGAGGAGGAGGCUACUGAGACUAAUACUCUUGGAUAGUGGACGUUACUCGCAGAAUAAGCACCGGCUAACUCUGUGCCAGCAGCCGCGGUAA
This 501-nucleotide ribosomal RNA is filed under the name uncultured bacterium. RNAcentral's name for it is "partial 16S ribosomal RNA". It matches the Rfam family "Bacterial small subunit ribosomal RNA", at positions 30 to 523 of the family's 1533-position model. The record is from RNAcentral.